UGCAUCAAAAUUUUAAGGUAAAAUAAAAAUAAAAUAUAAAUAUAUAAAAUAGUUAUCAUUUUUGUGAUUUAAGGCCACCUAUCCACUCAUCCAUCACGCAUAUCCACUCAUCCAUCACGCACCAAUAUAGACACUCCAAUUACCUAUACACUGAUAGAUACACCAAGCAUCAACACAAAAUAUACUAAGCCUCCUAUUUCACUCCUAUAAUCCUCCAACAGCCUAGCCCAGCCUAUUCAACCACUCUUAUAAUCCUCCAACAGCCUCUAAGGCCUUCGAAGAGUGCAAAAGUCCUGCUACAAAGUCUCCAAAACAAUUAUAGAUUUUGGUUAGUUAUGCUCUUAUUGCAAAGCUUUCUCUGGGAUCUGUCGUCAACAACCUCAUCAAUUGCACCGUGGAGUGGAUUAAAGCUUCAAUACCAAGCGGGAAUUUGUGAGCUUCAAUAAGCCUCAAAUCGCAGGUACGAAGACUUGGUUCGUGACGCCUAGCAUUCCUUUGAUGUCGUGUAGCUUUCAAGUUUCAAUUUCAUACAAAUAUUAGCAUGAAAUGUCAUUUUGUAGACUUAUAUAUCAAAAUAUGUAUAUUUGAUUCCAUGUAUGUAAUGUGUACUUAAGUACACUCUUUUCAAUGUAUUUAAUAUGUAUGAGAUGAGGCCGGAGGCCAAUGACAUGUAUAUUGUAUUCUAUACAACUUUUUAACUUCAUGAAAUGUUAUGAAAACCUUGAAAAAUUGCAA
Molecule: long non-coding RNA, 735 nt
Organism: Cornus florida
Lineage: Eukaryota; Viridiplantae; Streptophyta; Magnoliopsida; Cornales; Cornaceae
Exons: 2
Source: RefSeq, a predicted model, not a curated record